UAGCUCAGAUGGUAGAGCGACAGACUCUUAAUCUGUUGGUCGUGGGUUCAAAUCCCA
RNAcentral lists this transfer RNA (57 nucleotides) under Cryptomonas curvata. It matches the Rfam family "tRNA", at positions 8 to 62 of the family's 71-position model. Rfam says of the family: Transfer RNA (tRNA) molecules are approximately 80 nucleotides in length. Their secondary structure includes four short double-helical elements and three loops (D, anti-codon, and T loops). Further hydrogen bonds mediate the characteristic L-shaped molecular structure. tRNAs have two regions of fundamental functional importance: the anti-codon, which is responsible for specific mRNA codon recognition, and the 3' end, to which the tRNAs corresponding amino acid is attached (by aminoacyl-tRNA synthetases). tRNAs cope with the degeneracy of the genetic code in two manners: having more than one tRNA (with a specific anti-codon) for a particular amino acid; and 'wobble' base-pairing, i.e. permitting non-standard base-pairing at the 3rd anti-codon position. Lineage: Eukaryota; Cryptophyceae; Cryptomonadales; Cryptomonadaceae. The record is from RNAcentral.